Molecule: ribosomal RNA, 253 nt
Filed under: uncultured bacterium
Lineage: Bacteria
Description: partial 16S ribosomal RNA
Rfam family: Bacterial small subunit ribosomal RNA
Source: RNAcentral
UACGUAGGGCGCAAGCGUUGUCCGGAAUUAUUGGGCGUAAAGAGCUCGUAGGCGGUUUGUUACGUCCGCUGUGAAAUCCCAGGGCUUAACCCUGGACUUGCAGUGGAUACGGGCAGACUAGAGGCAGGUAGGGGAGAAUGGAAUUCCCGGUGUAGCGGUGAAAUGCGCAGAUAUCGGGAGGAACACCGGUGGCGAAGGCGGUUCUCUGGGCCUGACCUGACGCUGAGGAGCGAAAGCGUGGGGAGCGAACAGG